GCCUGGGUAGCUCAGUUGGUUGAGCGUCUGACUUCAGCUCAGGUCAUGAUCUCGCAGAGUUGGUGAGUUCAAGCCCCACAUCAGGCU
RNAcentral lists this transfer RNA (87 nucleotides) under Felis catus (domestic cat). It matches the Rfam family "tRNA". Rfam says of the family: Transfer RNA (tRNA) molecules are approximately 80 nucleotides in length. Their secondary structure includes four short double-helical elements and three loops (D, anti-codon, and T loops). The record is from Rfam by way of RNAcentral. Lineage: Eukaryota; Metazoa; Chordata; Mammalia; Carnivora; Felidae.